Molecule: ribosomal RNA, 364 nt
Filed under: uncultured Chloroflexota bacterium
Lineage: Bacteria; Bacillati; Chloroflexota
Description: bacterial SSU rRNA
Rfam family: Bacterial small subunit ribosomal RNA
Source: RNAcentral
AAGGGAACGACCGUGUUAAAUCAGGAGCUGCCACAAGUGCUGCAUGGCUGUCGUCAGCUCGUGCCGUGAGGUGUUGGGUUAAGUCCCGCAACGAGCGCAACCCUUAUUGCCAGUUAAUUUCUCUGGCGAGACUGCCCCGCAAAACGGGGAGGAAGGUGGGGAUGACGUCAAGUCAGCAUGGCCCUUAUGCCUAGGGCUACACACACGCCACAAUGGAUGGUACAGUUGGUUGCAAUAGCGCGAGCUGGAGCAAAUCCGUAAAACCAUUCUCAGUUCGGAUUGCAGGCUGAAACCCGCCUGCAUGAAGUUGGAGUUGCUAGUAAUCGCAGGUCAGCAUACUGCGGUGAAUACGUUCUCGGGCCUU